Molecule: ribosomal RNA, 253 nt
Filed under: uncultured bacterium
Lineage: Bacteria
Description: partial 16S ribosomal RNA
Rfam family: Bacterial small subunit ribosomal RNA
Source: RNAcentral
UACAGAAGGUGCGAGCGUUAAUCGGAAUUACUGGGCGUAAAGGGUGCGUAGGUGGUUUUGUAAGUUAGGUGUGAAAGUCCCGGGCUUAACCUGGGGAUUGCGCCUAAUACUGCAAAGCUAGAGUACUGUAGAGGAAAGUGGAAUUUCCAGUGUAGCAGUGAAAUGCGUAGAUAUUGGAAGGAACAUCAGUGGCGAAGGCGACUUUCUGGACAGAUACUGACACUGAGGCACGAAAGCGUGGGGAGCAAACAGG